AUGAUGCACAUUUAUCAUUUACAUGGUCACAAACAUUUCUGGGUGGAUGCGAGCGCAUGUCUCGUAGGCCAUACGACAUCUAUCUUUACACCGACAACUUUAUGGUUCGGCCGGCAUGCUGAAAAGCAAAAACUCUUUUGCUUCUUGUUGCAGCACAGACCUGCUGGUGAUGCACCAGCCAUUCUUCCGAUCAUAGGUGGUGCCAAAGUUGGGAAGAAAAGUUUGGUUGCUCAUGUGUGUGGCGACGAAAGGGUUCGCUCGUGCUUCUCUUCUGUUUUGCACUUGAGUGUUAUUGAGUUUGGUUCUGAUGUAAGUGAUGAUGACUGGAAAAACUUCCACUCAUUUCUCUUAACAAUGGGCAGAGGAAGCCAUAUCAUCAUCAUAAGUAGAAUUCAAAGUUAG
This 402-nucleotide ribosomal RNA is filed under the name Triticum aestivum (bread wheat). RNAcentral describes it as "partial small subunit ribosomal RNA". The record is from RNAcentral. Lineage: Eukaryota; Viridiplantae; Streptophyta; Magnoliopsida; Poales; Poaceae.